Molecule: non-coding RNA, 46 nt
Filed under: Schistosoma margrebowiei
Lineage: Eukaryota; Metazoa; Platyhelminthes; Trematoda; Strigeidida; Schistosomatidae
Source: RNAcentral
GCACUGCUGAAGAGUCUCACAACAGGACGAAACGGCUGUCCAGUGC